RNAcentral lists this small nuclear RNA (107 nucleotides) under Chinchilla lanigera (long-tailed chinchilla). The record is from RNAcentral. Lineage: Eukaryota; Metazoa; Chordata; Mammalia; Rodentia; Chinchillidae.
AUGCUCGUUUAAGCAGCACAUACACUAAAAUUGGGGUGAUACAGACAAGAUUAGCAUGGCCCCUGUGCAAGGAUGACACGCAAAUUCGUGAAGGGUUCCAUGUUUAA